CCUACGGGAGGCAGCAGUGAGGAAUAUUGGUCAAUGGCCGGAAGGCUGAACCAGCCAUGCCGCGUGAAGGUCAGUGCCCUAUGGGCGUUAAACUUCUUUUGUGCGGGAGCAAUAAUGGUCACGUGUGGCCAGACGAGAGUACCGUACGAAUAAGCAUCGGCUAACUCCGUGCCAGCAGCCGCGGUAAUACGGGGGAUGCAAGCGUUAUCCGGAUUUAUUGGGUUUAAAGGGUGCGUAGGCUGGGAGGUAAGUCAGCGGUGAAAUGCCCCCGCUCAACGGGGUGAAGUGCCAUUGAUACUGCCUGGCUGGAAGGCGGAUGCCGUGGGAGGAAUGUGUGGUGUAGCGGUGAAAUGCAUAGAUAUCACACAGAACACCGAUUGCGAAGGCAUCUCACGAAUCCGCGAUUGACGCUGAUGCACGAAAGCGUGGGUAUCAAACAGGAUUAGAUACCCGGGUAGUC
Molecule: ribosomal RNA, 460 nt
Filed under: uncultured bacterium
Lineage: Bacteria
Description: partial 16S ribosomal RNA
Rfam family: Bacterial small subunit ribosomal RNA
Source: RNAcentral